AGGCGUCUAUCGGCGGUUUCCAAGCUGCAUGGGGUGCAGGUGGUCGGAGGUUCAAAUCCUCUCGCCCCGACCA
Molecule: transfer RNA, 73 nt
Filed under: Paraburkholderia rhynchosiae
Lineage: Bacteria; Pseudomonadati; Pseudomonadota; Betaproteobacteria; Burkholderiales; Burkholderiaceae
Description: tRNA-Pro
Source: RNAcentral